UGCCAGCCGCCGCGGUAAUACGGAGGGGGUUAGCGUUGUUCGGAAUUACUGGGCGUAAAGCGCGCGUAGGCGGCUAUUUAAGUCAGAUGUGAAAGUCCACGGCUCAACCGUGGAAGUGCAUUUGAAACUGGAUAGCUUGAGUACUGGAGGGGGUGGUGGAAUUCCCGGUGUAGAGGUGAAAUUCGUAGAUAUUGGGAAGAACACCAGUGGCGAAGGCGGCUAACUGGCUCGGUACUGACGCUGAGAUGCGAAAGCGUGGGGAGCAAACAGGAUUAGAUA
This 279-nucleotide ribosomal RNA is filed under the name uncultured bacterium. RNAcentral's name for it is "partial 16S ribosomal RNA". It matches the Rfam family "Bacterial small subunit ribosomal RNA", at positions 506 to 784 of the family's 1533-position model. The record is from RNAcentral.